GUUCUUCCUCUCCUAUGUAAAAUCCCUUGGGAACUCAUUGUCUUCUUGCACUUGGCUAGGUUAAAAUGGUGAAGACAUCUUCUGGGACCUACAAGGUCAAAGCAGAUGACGUUGUUUGUGCAUCUGGCUAUAGCUACAUACACAGAUGCCUCCCAGCCACCCCCUGCACCUUCAGUGACCACUACAUGGCUUUGGGUGGUGAGGGUUGUCUUCUGGAGCUGCCAACUGUCCCUUUUCAGGAGCCUCUUCUCCUGCCCGAUAGACUUGUACAAUCUCGGUAAAUUGCAAUCUGUUUCGUAGUCCCGGAUUUUGGUGGGGGGUCCAAAUCCAUUUUUUGGGAGCCUCCCAGAUUUGGGAGGACAGAAAUCUAUUUUGAUCAGGGACAAAGAUUCAUUUUCCAUUCGGCCCAUUAUGGAGGGGGCUUCCCAGGCUCCGCUUCCUGUCAUUUUAGGCAUUGUUUGUCCUUAUGUCCUUCAUUAAGACCUGGAUUAAAAGCAUCAGAGUUAAGAUACUUUCUGCAAUCUUUUUCUUUCUGUAAGUUAAUGCUGUUUUUACUCUACAGGAGAAAGGCAUGCAUGGCGCUCCCUCCCUCCCUGUAGCAUGCAGCUUUCCAAGGCAUUUUAAGGAGGCUUGGAUCCCCACUUCCCAGAGCCGGGAAGGAAGAACGAUCAGUGUGGAGCAAUCCUACCCUGGGCUUCCUUUAAAAAGCUCCCCUUUUAUCUAGAUUUGCAGGCCCAGGAGUGGUGCUUUGCCUUUUGCCUCAUGCUUUUCCUUCUAGUGGCUGUCUCCCAUCCGCACUCCAUUUUUAACGAAGGCUGCCAGUUUUUGAGAGCCACUGUUCUGUUGCAGCCAAAAAAAAAAGGAGGCUGAACCCUUGCCGUUACAGCCAACUGAGCAAGCUGGACAAGUCGAAUUAGCCAAAGGGAACCAGCCACUCCGAAUCCAUGCACAAGUCUAUUGCCUGAUAUAUACACUGAAUGUAAAGUGGGACACACAAUAUUCAUCAAUAGCUGUUCCUUUGUAGUUCUUUAGGUUUCUCUGAGAUGACCAUUACUUGUGUUUAAGAGACAAAGGGGCAUGGCAAUGUCCUGCCAUGUUUCCUGCAAAAUGAUAGAUGGCAUGUAAAACCCAAUGAGAUGCUAACCGGUUUCAUAAAAAAAUAUCUCCAUCACCCCUCUCAUCCAUCCUCAAGUGACAUCGUAUACUGGCAAUUCAUCUAAGUAAAAAAAAAAAGAUGAGAGAAUUAAUUUAAAUUGGUUCCUUUUUUGCAGUGUUCGCACUGCAGUUCCUUAGCAUCUGAUUUUUCUUAUUAAAAAUUCUCUUUAAUAAGAGAAAUCAGGAUUUUAUGUCCCUAAAUGAAUGUGUUAAUGAGUUUAAUCAACUCACAGUUCUACUGCAAUGUUUAAGAUGUCCUUAUGUUUCAUUUCCGAACCAAAUAUUAAUGAAGUUGUUUGCCUGAAGGAAUGCGGGAUAAACAUUGAGGAAAAAUUGCUCUCCACCCAGUGGGGUAGUCAAUGAAUGUCUUUAUAUGAUUUACCUUUCAAACAAUUUAGAUAAUGGGCGUAGUCUUUAACGGAUGGGAUGUUAACCCAGCUUACUUUGAUAAAUUUCCUUCUAAUUCUGUUCACUCAAGAGAAAAAAAAUCAGACAUACAUGUUGAACUUUUAUACCUCUCAUUCUUUACAAUAUUUAGAUUUAUUUAGUACCUAUUAUGUGAGCUGAAAACGGACAUUCUUCCCCUAUAAAGGGAUAGUUGAAGCUGGGCAAUCAAAAACACAUUAGAUGUCUUUGUGCGCCUUUGGAAUCAAUACUAUUUCAAGCAAACUCUGAAGUAUACCAACUUUGCCUAAAGCAGGGUACAUUAAGGUUAAAAUGAAAACCCCCUGGAUAUUCCCCAGAAGCCCCUGUGCAUUAUGAAAACUUCCAGUGGUUCAUUUGCAGUGAGUAUGGGUAUUUUGGCCCACGUGUUUCCUAAAUUUUUCUUUCUAGUUUAACCCACCUAUUUUCUUCCUGUCAAAUUUGUACAAUAUGUAGAUUGAGGGCAGUAUGUGCUCUUCCCAGCCUCCUAUAUUGGAUCUUCAAAGUGCCUGAAAGUUUCUGCUGUCUCUUCCUGCUUUUGUUUCUGAGUGGUUCCAGAUGAAGCUUUAAUCAUGCCAUCCUUUUGCUUUUUAUUCAUUGAAUUUUACAGGGGCUUCACACAAUGUUACCCCUUCACACACAAUUACUAUAUUCUAUUCUACUCCCUUCCAUUCCUCUGUCUUUUUAAUUGUGUACAAUCUACUAUGAAUAAAAUUAAGAACCAGCUCCUUCCAACUAGUAGUAUGAAGAACCCUCUGGAAAUACCCUCCAUCUGAAACAAUAAGAUAAAGGACUAGCCUUUUUCACACUAUUAUUUAACACUAUGAUUUCAUUUUAAAUGCCAUAGCUCAAUUCUGUGGAAUUUUGAGGAGAUCUUUGUAGUUUGGGGAGAUCUCUAGCUCAGAAUUCUAAAUACUCCCUGAAUUACAAAUCCCUGAAUUUGUAGGAUGGAACCAAGGCACAUAGAGUAGAAUCAUAGGACCUCAUCACAUGAAAGUAGGGAAAGUAGGGAUAAGUGGGGGGGAAAGCAGAGGGAACAUCUUCUUUCAUACUCUAUCAUCGAGGUCCUGUGCCUUUCAAUCUUCAUGGAUGGAAACCAUUCCGUCCAUUCCUCGUCUUUCCAAACUUCUAUCCAGCUUCUCUCUAUCUUCUGUUUUUGGGAGUUGGGUUGCACUGGAUUCCUGAAAAUGCAGUCUUCCCUCUAUUUCCCUGUGCUGCUACAAUGGAGCCCCACAGGCAACCAUUGGAAGUGACCUUGGACCAUGUGAUGGCCUCCGUGGGACUUCGGCAGCGCACAGAAACAGAUAUGAUGAAGAGAAGAAUGUGUGGGAUGAAGUCCAUAGUGUUGUAGUUGUACAGUGUGAAAAGGCUCACGGUGCUACUUUUCUUCUGCACUCUGAUCUGCCCCAUUCUUUUGACAGUUCUUCCAUUUGAGAUACACCAGAAACAAUUAUUUAUCAACAAACCAUUUUGUGGCUAUUAGAUCCUAUAAAAAUACAUCCGUUAAGGACUUAUUAAGUGGGAAUAAUAAAAAGAAAUAUGUUUGGCCACAAUAGAGCAACUUAAGUCAAUAAAUACGUCAAUUAAACAAAACUGACUCUUAAGCAGAUAGCACAAAUAGCUACUCUUGGUUCUUUUUAUUGCCCCUUUUGUUUUGUUUUUUACAAGGCAUUAAUGCAGUUUUUUAUUUUGCUAUGUAAAUGAUGAAUGAUGUCUCUUGGGCCACUGAUAUGAAACAGCUUCCCCACUAAUGUGAGGAGGAGUAUUUGCUUCCCAUAGAUUGGAAUAGACAAUAAACACACAGCUCUCAACACCCCAGCCCACCUGCUACGAAUAAAUGAGAUGGAUUAAAUUUAUUAUACAGUUGAGCAUUCAUAUCUGGGAUUCCAAAAUCCUAAAUACUCCAAAAGCCAAAAU
Molecule: long non-coding RNA, 3495 nt
Filed under: Anolis carolinensis (green anole)
Lineage: Eukaryota; Metazoa; Chordata; Lepidosauria; Squamata; Anolidae
Description: lncRNA (ENSACAG00000037373.1)
Source: RNAcentral